RNAcentral lists this ribosomal RNA (2037 nucleotides) under bioreactor sludge metagenome. Its description in RNAcentral is "bacterial LSU rRNA". It matches the Rfam family "Bacterial large subunit ribosomal RNA", at positions 1 to 1996 of the family's 2925-position model. The record is from RNAcentral.
AGAAGCUACUAAGAGUUUAUGGUGGAUGCCUUGGCGCCAAGUGCCGAUGAAGGACGUAGGUUAUUGCGAUAAGCUUCGGGGAGCCGUAAACAGGCGAUAUAUCCGGAGAUUUCCGAAUGGGGAAACCCACCAGCGCGAACCGCUGGUAUCAUCCGUUGAACACAUAGACGGAAUGAGGGGCACCUGGGGAACUGAAACAUCUAAGUACCCAGAGGAAAAGAGAGUAUUCCCCGAGUAGUGGCGAGCGAAAGGGGAUUAGCCCAAACCACUGCGGCUUGCCGUAGUGGGGUUGUAGGGCCUGGCAUUGUGGAGUUACAAAGUGUUCGGUUAGCAGAAUGGUGUGGGAAAGCCAACCAAAGAGGGUUACAGUCCCGUAAGCGAAAGCCGAGCACCUCCCGUCAGGUACCUGAGUACUGCCGUGCACGCUAAUACGGCAGGAAUCCGGGGGGCCCACCCUCCAAGGCUAAAUACACUUGGCGACCGAUAGUGAACUAGUACCGCGAGGGAAAGGUGAAAAGUACCCCGUUGAGGGGAGUGAAAUAGAACCUGAAACCAUAAACUUACAAGCAGUUGGAGGGCUAAUGGCGGGUCGGUGCUCCGGUGAAAGCCGGUUGCGCGCCGCUAUGCCUGACAGCGUGCCUCUUGGAGAAUGAGCCUGCGAGUUAAUUUUUGUGGCGAGGUUAAGAGAGUGACACUCGAAGCCGUAGCGAAAGCGAGUCUGAAUAGGGCGUUCAGUCGCAAGAAUUAGACCCGAAACCGGGUGAGCUACCCAUGGACAGGGUGAAGCGAGUCUAAUCGCUCGUGGAGGCCCGAACCUACUAAUGUUGCAAAAUUAGGGGAUGAGCUGUGGGUAGAGGUGAUAUGCCAAACGAACUCGGAGAUAGCUGGUUCUCCCCGAAAUAGCUUUAGGGCUAGCGCUACAUGUUCAGUACUGGAGGUAGAGCACUGAAUGGGCUAGGGGGCUUAGUGCUUACCAAACCCAAUCAAACUCCGAAUGCCAGUACUCCAGAAUGUAGCAGUCGGACUACGGGAGAUGAGUUUCGUGGUCAAAAGGGAAACAGCCCAGAUCAACAGCUAAGGUCCCCAAGUUUGUGCUAAGUGGGAAACGAUGUGGGGUUACUUAAACAACCAGGAGGUUGGCUCAGAAGCAGCCACCCUUUAAAGAGUGCGUAAUAGCUCACUGGUCAAGUGAUCUUGCGCGGAAAAUUUAACGGGGCUAAGCAUAGUACCGAAGCUUUGGGCUUCAGCAUUAGCUGGAGCGGUAGGGGAGCGUUCUGUAGGCAGUGAAGGUCGACCGGAAGGACGGCUGGAGCGUACAGAAGUGAGAAUGCAGGCAUGAGUAGCGUAAAACAUGUGAGAACCAUGUUCGCCGUAUGUCUAAGGUUUCCGACGCCAGGUCAUUCCGCGUCGGGUUAGUCGGGUCCUUAGCCGAGGCCGGAAGGCGUAGGUGAUGGACAUCGGGUCAACAUUCCCGAACCACUUAAAAUGAGUGAUGGGAGGACGCAGCGAGGUAGGCCAGCCCACGAUUGGUCGUGUGGGUGCACCUGACGUCAGACUUUGAGAGCUGUAGGCAAAUCCGCAGUUUGAGUUGAGGUCUGGUGGCGUGCCCUUGAGGUAGAAGUGAGCUAAGCCUUGCUGCCAAGAAAAGUCCCUAAACGUUGAUUUUUGAGUGCCCGUACCGCAAACCGACACUGGUAGACGGGUAGAGUAUACCAAGGCGAACGGGAGAACCCUCGUUAAGGAAUUAGGCAACAUAGCCCCGUAACUUCGGGAGAAGGGGUGCCUCUUAUUGUGAAUGUAUAAUGAGCAUAAAGAGGUCGCAGUGAAAUGGCUCUAGUGACUGGUUAACAAAACCACAGGUCUCUGCAAAGCCGAAAGGCGAUGUAUAGGGGCUGACACCUGCCCAGUGCCGGAAGGUUAAAGGGAGAGGUUAGCGCAAGCGAAGCUUUGAACUGAAGCCCCGGUGAACGGCGGCCGUAACUAUAACGGUCCUAAGGUAGCGAAAUUCCUUGUCGGGCAAGUUCCGACCCGCACGAA